ACCUUAUUCAUUUUCUCAGAUGAAUGACCUCACAAACCUAAAUCUUGCACAUAAUAAGCUCCAAAACCAGCUGGGAGAUAUAUUUGAAAAGCUCGGUAAACUCAAACAACUGGAUGUAUCAUUUAAUUCUCUAUCAGGAGACCUGCCGCAGAGUCUCAAAUCGCUCAAAAGCCUCAAGAAGUUGCACCUUCAAAACAACAAAUUCACUGGUUCAGUAAAUGUUCUUGCCAAACUUCCACUUGAUGAUUUGAAUAUCGAAAACAACAAAUUUACUGGUUGGGUUCCUAACGAGUUGAAGAAUAUAAAUAAAUUGCGAACUGGAGGAAACUCAUGGUCAAAGGGACAAGCACCUCCUCCUCCUCCUGGUACUCCCCCCAUCGACCAAUCCAUGAAAAAGAAAGAUAAAUCCG
RNAcentral lists this small RNA (410 nucleotides) under Vigna angularis var. angularis. RNAcentral describes it as "Non-protein coding transcript". Lineage: Eukaryota; Viridiplantae; Streptophyta; Magnoliopsida; Fabales; Fabaceae. The record is from RNAcentral.